CACACACACACACACACACACACACACACACACACACACACACAAUAUAACACCCAGUUACACCAGCGUAUCAGGUUGCCAGUGGGAUCAAAAGGUCUGGUCCUAUGAAAUUAGUUGGCUGAAGAUGAGAGAGUCUGCCAUGAACCCUAUCUGACAUCUGAACAUAUGGAUGAAAGGUAAUCUUUCUUUCUUCCUCCGGCUCACUCUUUUAACACGUUCUCCUGUAGCCUUUGAUUCUCUCGAUCUCUCUCUCUCUCUCUCUCAUAAACCAUCACCUCAGUGCAUACAACCCUCCAGUUUUACUGCUUUUCUCCCUGCUGCCGUUUAUUAAAGGCUAAGUUAAGUCUAUUUUUUUAUGGCACACAAUAUAUCACAUGCCAUAUGUGUGCGUAUAUAUACACUACCGUUCAAAAGUUUGGGGUCAUCCAGACAAUUUUGUGUCUUCCAUGAAAACUCACUUUUAUUUAUCAAAUGAAUUGAAAAUUGAAUAGAAAAUAUAGUCAAGACAUUGACAAGGUUAGAAAUAAUGAUAAAUAUUUGAAGUAUUAAUUUUGUUCUUCAAACUUCAAGCUCAAAGGAAGGCCAGUUGUAUAGCUUAUAUCACCAGCAUAACUGUUUUCAGCUGUGCUAACAUAAUUGCACAAGGGUUUUCUAAUCAGAUAUUAGUCUUCUAAGGCGAUUAGCAAACACAAUGUACUAUUAGAUCACUGGAGUGAUCGUUGAUGGAAAUGGGCCUCUAUAUACCUAUGGAGAUAUUUCAUUAGAAACCAGACGUUUCCACCUAGAAUAGUCAUUUACCACAUUAAUUCAAUUCAAUUCAAUUCAGUUUAUUUGUAUAGCCCAAUUUCACAAAUUACAAAUUUGUCUCGGAGUGCUUUACAAUCUGUACACAUAGACAUCCCUGCCCCAAAACCUCACAUCGGACCAGGAAAAACUCCCAAAUAACCCUUCAGGGGGAAAAAAAGGGAAGAAACCUGCAGGAGAGCAACAGAGGAGGAUCCCUCUCCAGGAUGGACAGAUGCAAUAGAUGUAAUGUGUACAGAAGGACAGAUUUAGAGUUAAAAUACAUUCAAUGAAUAUGACAGAGUGUAUGAAUAGUUCAUAGUAGGCAUAUUCCACGAUGGAGACCUCCACGAUCCAUCAGGCAGAUGGCGGUGGGGAGGAGUGGGCGGAGUCUCAACAGGACAGUGGCGUAGUCAGGAGCAGGAAUUUCCACGACCCAGACCUCGAUGAUCCAUCAGGCAGAUAGGAUCUAUGCCGUCUCAUAGGGUCCGAUGACCCCAUGAGACGUGAAGUCAAAAGGACUCCGGGGAGAAAGCAGAGUUAGUAACGUGUGAUUGAGAGAUGAAAAUUAAUCCCUAAGGAGAGAAAAAAGAGGAGAUAGGUGCUCAGUGCAUCCUAAAACGUCCCCCGGCAGCUAUAAGCCUAUAGCAGCAUAUCAAGGGGCUGGACCAGGUGAACCUGAUUCAGCCCUAACUAUAAGCUCUGUCAAAGAGGAAAGUCUUAAGUCUACUCUUAAACGAGGUGACUGUGUCUGCCUCCCGGACUGAAAUUGGAAGCUGGUUCCAUAAAAGAGGAGCUUGAUAACUAAAGGCUCUGGCUCCCAUUCUACUUUUUAAGACUCUAGGAACUACAAGUAGUCCCGCAUUUAGUGAGCGCAGCUCUCUAGUGGGGCAAUAUGGUACUACAAGCUCCUUAAGAUAUGAUGGUGCAUCACCAAUCAAGGCUUUGUACGUUAAGAGAAGAAUUUUAAAAGUGAUUCUUGAUUUUACUGGGAGCCAGUGCAGAGCAGCUAGUGCAGGAGUGAUGUGAUCUCUUUUCUUAGUUUUAGUGAGAACACGAGCUGCAGCAUUCUGGAUCAACUGGAGGGACCUAAGAGAUUUAUUAGAGCAGCCUGAUAAUAAGGAGUUGCAGUAAUCCAGUCUCGAAGUAACGAACGCGUGUACCAAUUUUUCUGCAUCUUUUUGAGACAAGAUGUGCCUGAUUUUUGAAAUAUUACGUAGAUGAAAGAAUGCAGUCCUUGAGAGUUGCAUUACGUGGGAGUUAAAGGACAAGUCCCGAUCAAAGAUAACGCCAAGAUUCUUUACAGUGGUGUUGGAUGCCAGGGCAAUGCCGUCUACAGAAACCACGUCACCAGAUAAUUGAUCUCUGAGGUGCUCAGGGCCGAGUAAAAUUACUUCGGUUUUGUCUGAGUUUAACAUCAAGAAGUUGCAGGUCAUCCAUGUUUUUAUGUCUUUAAGACAUGCUUGAAUUUUACCGAGUUGGUUGCUCUCCUCUGGUUUUAUCGAUAAAUACAGUUGAGUAUCAUCUGCAUAACAAUGAAAGUUUAUGGACAUUAACAAUGUAUAGUGUGUAUUUUUGAUUAAUGUUAUCUUUAUUGAAAAAACAGUGCUUUUCUUUGAAAAAUAAAGACAUUUCUAAGUGACCCCAAACUUUUGAACGGUAGUGUAUAUUUAUAUAUGUAUAUAUAUAUAUAUAUGAAUAUAAAGUGUUAUUGGUUGCUGAUAUCCCUUCUUACGCUGCGAGACACACGCAUUAAUGAGGUUCUGCUCCCGCUAACAUGAGGCAGCAGGCGGGAUCAGCCAGAUCAAGAGGUUCUGAAUAUAUAUGUGUAUAUACAGGGGUGCACAUAACUUUUUCAGUGAGUUACACAGGUGAGUCCCGGGAGAUGGGCUGUGUCUACUACCGCGCACUUGAGCACUUCGAGCACUGACUUUCAGUGUUCGAAGUGCGCCACUGAAAAAACCAGCAGAAUUCAGUGCACUGAAAGUACCCGGAUGGUGCACUGCAAACGGGCAAAAAAUGUAGUGUAAAACGAUGGACACUACUCGCCCAAGCGGCCGCCAUCUUGGCGACGUAGCGGAAGAGGAGGAGCCCUUUCGCCAGCUUUUCAUUUUAUUUCUAAAACAAUGGCGGACAGCACAAGCGGUAGACCACGAAGCUACGGACCGUAAAUAGACGUUUCCUGGAGGUGCUGGUGCUGGUCCUCUGCUGCCCUCCCGACAUCUGCAUCUGGCUCCAAUGACCUCUGGCACAAACCUCACAUCCACCUCCAGGGCCUUUAAGAAGAUGGACCACCAUCGCGUCUUCAGUAUCCCGAAGGACCUCUCCACAACACACCUCGCCUUUGACAGGCAGCAGUUGUAGCUUGGAGGUGGACAGGCUGCCUGAAGGGGGUCAUGAGGCAGAUGGGUUGGGACAGGCAGGGAUAGCCACCAUCCCCAAGGAUACAGUAUCCUGGUGGAGGGUAUGACUGCUCAUAGAAGAUGGGGCUGUUAUUCAGGACCCUGGCAUCAUGCACUGAGCCCGGGGCCUGUCGAAGGCCCUGGCCACCACCCGAUAGGAGGUGGCGCUGGCAAGCCAAAAAAUACAAACUAGACAGGAGAUCUCGGGGCCCCAACCGUGGUCACAGUCAGUGCCCAGCACAGCCAUGAGGGCGUUGAAUGACACUCGGUGAGCCUGAAGUCCACCCUCAUGUCACUGUGGCCAUCACAAUACAACGCCAGCAGUGGCAUUGCAACAUUGAUACGGCAGCGCCGCUGGGACUGGGUGGCUGCUGUACAGUGUGUGGGGAGGGGAAGGGAAGAUUAUAUUAAUAUGCAAGUCAUUUUAUCAAUAAAAUGUUGUCAUUGA
This is a long non-coding RNA of Pseudoliparis swirei, 3633 nucleotides long. RefSeq lists it as uncharacterized. The record is from RefSeq and is a predicted model, not a curated record. Lineage: Eukaryota; Metazoa; Chordata; Actinopteri; Perciformes; Liparidae. The transcript has 2 exons.